GGCGCGGAGCCGCGCGGAGUGACAAAGCCGCCGCUGCCGCCGCCGGGGGUGGGAGCCGCGCUCGCCCGCCCGCCCCUCGACUCGCGAGGGCGUAAAAGUUUGUCUCAGCUCGAGCAUUCCUAGCGCCAACACGCCCUCAGGUAAAGGUGGAAGUAAAUGGCCACGCUGUAUUGACAGAGGUAGAUGAAACUCAAGAGAAAAGGUGUGGAUAAAUGAAACUAGCCCAUGAUGAACCUGUUUUCUCCGUGACCACAAUAUUAACCAGGAUGAAUGGCGGUGGCAGUGGGCCUGCAUCACAGGUUGCAGCAGAUGUUCUCAAUAUUUCUAUUAAAAUUUCCUUAUUUCCAUAUGCAAGAGGAGCCCCAGAGCUGCAUCCUUAUGGUAGCUACCAUGCCGUGAUGUAAGCUGCCAUUCACUGGGGAGCUUUGGCAAUAGAAUUGGCUAGAUCAGGAAGCCUAUGUCAACUAUGGAACAACAACUUGCAGCUCAUCUCUAUUGAUGAUACACUGCCUCUAGGACUGGGACAGAUAGCCACUGAGUACCUGCUUCAAAUCACCCUGCACGUUUUCUCUUUGGAAAGAUAAGCACUGGAGAACCAUCUCGUUACCUUCAGCAGAAAUGGAAACAAAUCAAGACAUUAAGAAUGCCGCAGUGGACAGCAGUUAUGCAAGGUUCAGCAGAGGAAGUUUUCAAGAUGGUGUGCCUCACUAGCCAGAAAUCAGAAAAGAUCGAAGCUAGCCUUUUCAUCUCAGCUGCUCCUUAAAUCAGUGCAACCCCUCCAAAUUAAUGUGAAUUGAAACUUGCAUUGCUUUUCAACUUAAUUGAAUACUUACUAUAUGUGAACCACUGCACAAAAUAGGGGAAGAAGAUGUGGGAGACAAAGAUGUGGAGCCUGUCUUCAAUAAAUUUACAGUUAGUUUCAGGGUACAUUGUUUUUCUUCUGCUGUUAAUUAGGUGUAUCCCCAAGACAAUAAAUACAUGAAUGGAAAAGUAUAUUCUGUGUUUUAAGUCUCUUUAAUAAAAAACAAAACAAAAUCCAAAAAAACUCCUAACAUGGCAACUCAGGACAUUUUAAUCCUUUUUUUUGUUGUUGGGCUUCUGAUAGGAUCCAUUUUAUUGAUUCCAUAAAUAUUUAGUAGACUUUAGACAUAUUAAUACAUUGUAGUUUGAGUUAAUUUGCAUUAAAUUCUGUUUUUUUCCCCUUAGGUAUAGAUUGUCUGUUGGAAAAAUAUAUUGCUUGUGGAUUUCUUGGGGAGUGGGAAGGUGAAUUAUACCUGUUGUCUCUACAGUCCACUACCUUCCACACCCUAGGGCAGUGGUCCCCAACCUUCUUGGCACCAGGGAUCAGUUUCCUGGAAGACAAUUUUUCUGUGGAUGGUGUGGGGAUGGUUUUGGGAUGGAACUGUUCCACCUCAGAUCAUCAGGCAUUAGUUAGGCUCUCAUAACGAGUGCGCAGCCUAGAUCCCUCACAUGCACAGUUCACAGUAGGGUUUGCGCUGCUAUGAGAAUCUAAGGCUGCCACUGAUCUGACAGGAGGCAGAACUCAGGUGGCAAUGCUUACUGGCCCACUGCUCACCUCUUGCUGUGCGGCCUGGUUCCUAAUAGGCCAUGGACCCCCACAGACGGGUACUAGUCUGCAGCCUGUGGACCCCAGCCCUAGGGGCCUGCCAUUCUGAGUGAGUUAUUAGCAUGAAGAAGAGGAAGAUCUGGAUCAAACGUGGGUGAUGGUACUCAGAGACCCAAGAUAGGAUAGGGAUGGAACAAAAUCCAUCUGGGCAACGGCUCUAUGAAAAUUUGGCUAAGUAAUUAUUUCAGUAUUCAUUGUAUUCAUUGUCCUUCGUGUUCCAUAAGUUAAAUGACUGUCUAAUUUUUCCAAAAAUUUAUUUCUGACUUGAGAAUAAGUGUGUCAUGAUUUUCCCAGUGUAAAGACACUGAUAUAACUGUAGAUACCAGACAUUUUAUGUAGUGUCUAUGACACAUUUUAGUAUGUAUGAGCCAACAAUAGACAUGUCUUUGUCUUGAGGAGUGUCCAUCUGAAUUGAAAAUGUGUCAGCUUUUUUUUAACAUCAUCAACAGACUUCUUAAUUAAGCUGCCAAUACAUACUGCCAAUAGCACUGUGUGCUGUCUGAGAAAUGCAUUGUGUAAGUGCUAUUUCCAUCUUAUUAAAUAAACAAUGUUGCUCUGUAUAAACUGGAUUUAAAGUGUUCUUUGAAUGAGGCAUUAUAUUGCUCCAUAAAUAAUGUGAUGUGAAUUCUCAUAUGAUCCCUUUUAACUUAAUUUCUAAAAAAAUAUUAUUUGCUCCUCAGUAAGGAAUAGCUCUAAUUGGACUGGUAACUUUAGUGAUAUGAUUUGUCUGUAACAGGCUGAAUCGCCCCACUCCCAAACUCCUGGUCGUGAUACUGGAUAUUUGUUAUGCCACUUUUAGUUUGCAUGAGGUAUCUUCCAGGAAGUAUUAGUUAUUAACUUGUGUUCUACUAAACUGUAGAUAUUUAUUUCCUGUUCUGGAAGAUUUCUUGGAGUGUCCAUCUGUGCAUUCCUGGUGCCUAGUGUAGUCUUGCUAAUGGAAUAGCACCUUUAUUGGUGCUACUUAGGGGUUGGUAGCUUACAAUCAAUCUACUUGGAACGUAUCCAAAUAAACUGGAUAUUUUUAUACA
RNAcentral lists this long non-coding RNA (2655 nucleotides) under Homo sapiens (human). RNAcentral describes it as "non-protein coding NR2F1-AS1:7". The record is from RNAcentral. Lineage: Eukaryota; Metazoa; Chordata; Mammalia; Primates; Hominidae.